This 520-nucleotide ribosomal RNA is filed under the name uncultured Glomus. RNAcentral describes it as "SSU rRNA". It matches the Rfam family "Eukaryotic small subunit ribosomal RNA", at positions 569 to 1092 of the family's 1831-position model. Lineage: Eukaryota; Fungi; Glomeromycota; Glomeromycetes; Glomerales; Glomeraceae. The record is from RNAcentral.
AGCAGCCGCGGUAAUUCCAGCUCCAAUAGCGUAUAUUAAAGUUGUUGCAGUUAAAAAGCUCGUAGUUGAAUUUCGGGAUCAAGUCGUCGGUCGUGCCUCGGUACGCACUGGUGACAUUGGUUUCUCCCUUCUGAAGAACCUUGAUGUCAUUAAUUUGGUGUCUUGGGGAAUCAGGACUGUUACUUUGAAAAAAUUAGAGUGUUUAAAGCAAGCCCACGCUUGAAUACAUUAGCAUGGAAUAAUGAAAUAGGACGUUUGAUUCUAUUUUGUUGGUUUCUAGGAUCGACGUAAUGAUUAAUAGGGAUAGUUGGGGGCAUUAGUAUUCAAUUGUCAGAGGUGAAAUUCUUGGAUUUAUUGAAGACUAACUACUGCGAAAGCAUUUGCCAAGGAUGUUUUCAUUAAUCAAGAACGAAAGCUAGGGGAUCGAAGACGAUCAGAUACCGUCGUAGUCUUAACCAUAAACUAUGCCGACUAGGGAUCGGAUGAUGUUAAUUUUUAAUGACUCAUUCGGCGCCUUAAC